GAUGAACGCUGGCGGCGUGCUUAACACAUGCAAGUCGAACGAAGCACUUUAUUUGAUUUCCUUCGGGACUGAUUAUUUUGUGACUGAGUGGCGGACGGGUGAGUAACGCGUGGGUAACCUGCCUUGUACAGGGGGAUAACAGUUGGAAACGGCUGCUAAUACCGCAUAAGCGCACGACAUCGCAUGAUGCAGUGUGAAAAACUCCGGUGGUAUAAGAUGGACCCGCGUUGGAUUAGCUAGUUGGUGAGGUAACGGCCCACCAAGGCGACGAUCCAUAGCCGACCUGAGAGGGUGACCGGCCACAUUGGGACUGAGACACGGCCCAAACUCCUACGGGAGGCAGCAGUGGGGAAUAUUGCACAAUGGGCGAAAGCCUGAUGCAGCGACGCCGCGUGAGCGAAGAAGUAUUUCGGUAUGUAAAGCUCUAUCAGCAGGGAAGAUAAUGACGGUA
This 451-nucleotide ribosomal RNA is filed under the name uncultured bacterium. Its description in RNAcentral is "bacterial SSU rRNA". It matches the Rfam family "Bacterial small subunit ribosomal RNA", at positions 28 to 477 of the family's 1533-position model. The record is from RNAcentral.